AUUGAACGCUGGCGGUAUGCUUAACACAUGCAAGUCGAACGGAGGAUGUAGCGAUAUAUCCUCAGUGGCGAACGGGUGAGUAACGCGUUGGUGACCUGCCCCGAAGAGAGGGAUAACAGUUCGAAAGGACUGCUAAUACCGCAUGAGGUCGUUGAGGCUAGAGGCUCGAUGACGAAAGGAGAAAUCCGCUUUGGGAGGGGCCUGCGUCCCAUCAGCUAGUUGGUAAGGUAAAGGCUUACCAAGGCGAAGACGGGUAGGGGGCCUGAGAGGGUGACCCCCCACACUGGCACUGAAACACGGGCCAGACACCUACGGGUGGCU
Molecule: ribosomal RNA, 321 nt
Filed under: uncultured Chloroflexota bacterium
Lineage: Bacteria; Bacillati; Chloroflexota
Description: bacterial SSU rRNA
Rfam family: Bacterial small subunit ribosomal RNA
Source: RNAcentral